This is a long non-coding RNA of Prionailurus viverrinus (fishing cat), 238 nucleotides long. RefSeq lists it as uncharacterized. The transcript has 2 exons. The record is from RefSeq and is a predicted model, not a curated record. Lineage: Eukaryota; Metazoa; Chordata; Mammalia; Carnivora; Felidae.
GAGACAACUAAUCAAAAAUAUUCUGCCACUGAACGAAUUACACUUCUAUAUCUGGAGUUCUUAUGUGAGAAAGAGAAAGCCUAACUUAUUUAAGGUUCAACAGAGUUCAGCAAGUUCUUGUGUUCACUCUAACACAAUAUACACUGUGAAACUGCUUUAUUUCAAAUUAGAUGUGACAGAAUAAUAGGAGUAGAAAUGACUCAACUGGCCUUUGUGACAUGGUUGGUUACUGGAAAAG